CAGCAGCCGCGGGAAUACGUAGGUGGCAAGCGUUGUCCGGAAUUAUUGGGCGUAAAGCGCGCGCAGGUGGUUUCUUAAGUCUGAUGUGAAAGCCCCCGGCUCAACCGGGGAGGGUCAUGGAAACUGGGAAACUUGAGUGCAGAAGAGGAGAGUGGAAUUCCACGUGUAGCGGUGAAAUGCGUAGAGAUGUGGAGGAACACCAGUGGCGAAGGCGACUCUCUGGUCUGUAACUGACGCUGAGGAGCGAAAGCGUGGGGAGCGAACAGGAUUAGAUACCCCCGUAGUCCCUGUCUCUUAUACA
This 301-nucleotide ribosomal RNA is filed under the name uncultured bacterium. Its description in RNAcentral is "partial 16S ribosomal RNA". It matches the Rfam family "Bacterial small subunit ribosomal RNA", at positions 509 to 808 of the family's 1533-position model. The record is from RNAcentral.